Molecule: ribosomal RNA, 1352 nt
Filed under: uncultured bacterium
Lineage: Bacteria
Description: bacterial SSU rRNA
Rfam family: Bacterial small subunit ribosomal RNA
Source: RNAcentral
AUUGAACGCUGGCGGCAUGCCUUACACAUGCAAGUCGAACGGUAACGGGUCCUUCGGGAUGCCGACGAGUGGCGAACGGGUGAGUAAUAUAUCGGAACGUGCCCAGUAGUGGGGGAUAACUGCUCGAAAGAGCAGCUAAUACCGCAUACGACCUGAGGGUGAAAGGGGGGGAUCGCAAGACCUCUCGCUAUUGGAGCGGCCGAUAUCAGAUUAGCUAGUUGGUGGGGUAAAGGCCUACCAAGGCAACGAUCUGUAGUUGGUCUGAGAGGACGACCAGCCACACUGGGACUGAGACACGGCCCAGACUCCUACGGGAGGCAGCAGUGGGGAAUUUUGGACAAUGGGCGCAAGCCUGAUCCAGCAAUGCCGCGUGCAGGAAGAAGGCCUUCGGGUUGUAAACUGCUUUUGUCAGGGAAGAAAUCUUCUGGGCUAAUACCCCGGGAGGAUGACGGUACCUGAAGAAUAAGCACCGGCUAACUACGUGCCAGCAGCCGCGGUAAUACGUAGGGUGCGAGCGUUAAUCGGAAUUACUGGGCGUAAAGCGUGCGCAGGCGGCUUUGCAAGACAGAUGUGAAAUCCCCGGGCUCAACCUGGGAACUGCAUUUGUGACUGCAAGGCUAGAGUACGGCAGAGGGGGAUGGAAUUCCGCGUGUAGCAGUGAAAUGCGUAGAUAUGCGGAGGAACACCAAUGGCGAAGGCAAUCCCCUGGGCCUGUACUGACGCUCAUGCACGAAAGCGUGGGGAGCAAACAGGAUUAGAUACCCUGGUAGUCCACGCCCUAAACGAUGUCAACUGGUUGUUGGACGGCUUGCUGUUCAGUAACGAAGCUAACGCGUGAAGUUGACCGCCUGGGGAGUACGGCCGCAAGGUUGAAACUCGAAGGAAUUGACGGGGACCCGCACAAGCGGUGGAUGAUGUGGUUUAAUUCGAUGCAACGCGAAAAACCUUACCUACCCUUGACAUGUCAAGAAUUCUGCAGAGAUGUGGAAGUGCUCGAAAGAGAACUUGAACACAGGUGCUGCAUGGCCGUCGUCAGCUCGUGUCGUGAGAUGUUGGGUUAAGUCCCGCAACGAGCGCAACCCUUGUCAUUAGUUGCUACGCAAGAGCACUCUAAUGAGACUGCCGGUGACAAACCGGAGGAAGGUGGGGAUGACGUCAGGUCCUCAUGGCCCUUAUGGGUAGGGCUACACACGUCAUACAAUGGCCGGUACAGAGGGCUGCCAACCCGCGAGGGGGAGCCAAUCCCAGAAAACCGGUCGUAGUCCGGAUCGUAGUCUGCAACUCGACUGCGUGAAGUCGGAAUCGCUAGUAAUCGCGGAUCAGCUUGCCGCGGUGAAUACGUUCCCGGGUCU